Molecule: ribosomal RNA, 468 nt
Filed under: uncultured bacterium
Lineage: Bacteria
Description: partial 16S ribosomal RNA
Rfam family: Bacterial small subunit ribosomal RNA
Source: RNAcentral
GACGAACGCUGGCGGCGUGCUUAACACAUGCAAGUCGAACGGAAAGGCCCUGCUUUUGUGGGGUGCUCGAGUGGCGAACGGGUGAGUAACACGUGAGUAACCUGCCCUUGACUUUGGGAUAACUUCAGGAAACUGGGGCUAAUACCGGAUAGGAGCUCCUGCUGCAUGGUGGGGGUUGGAAAGUUUCGGCGGUUGGGGAUGGACUCGCGGCUUAUCAGGUUGUUGGUGGGGUAGUGGCUUACCAAGGCUUUGACGGGUAGCCGGCCUGAGAGGGUGACCGGCCACAUUGGGACUGAGAUACGGCCCAGACUCCUACGGGAGGCAGCAGUGGAGAAUAUUGCACAAUGGGCGGAAGCCUGAUGCAGCAACGCCGCGUGCGGGAUGACGGCCUUCGGGUUGUAAACCGCUUUCGCCUGUGACGAAGCGUGAGUGACGGUAAUGGGUAAAGAAGCACCGGCUAACUACGUG